CCUCUCGGUUCGAAGCAGAAGGGUAGGAUAGGGUGGGUUGGCAGAGGGGGUCGGGGAGGAUGGCCGCUUGGGCGAGGAGGCGGAGCCAAUGACCCCCGCGGUGGCGGCGGCGGAGUGGCCCCAGGGGCUGGAGGACCGGCGUCUGUUGCGGACCCGGUUCCUGGCCGUCAAGAGCCAGAUCGAGCGCACGACGGUGGUAGCCGUCCAGAGGAAGAGGAAGAGCACCCUGCGCCGGUUCGGCGGCCGUGGCGUCACGGAGAGGAGGCGGAGAGAAAGGCCACCGGUGGCCCCGUGAAGGUCGAGGAGGCCGCCGCCUCGUCGUGCUCACCUCGAUCCACUUUUUCUCGCAUGUGUUCGGUGCGGGCAGAGGAAAUAGCAGAGGAUCACGUCGACGUCGACGCCCGGGGGGUCGAAGGGAGGGGCGGCGGCCUGGAAGAGCGCGACGAGCAGCGAAGCAAGUCGGUCGUGGGGCUGGAGCAGCAGCACCACAGCCUCCUCGACCCCCUGUUCUCAUAUCCUAUCCGUGCGAGCAUGGGAAAUAGCAGAGGAGCACGCACGUGUUGACGUCCGGGGAGUCAGAGGGGAGGCGACCUACCGGUGGAGCGCGGUGAGCAGUGGAUCCGGUCGGUCGUGGGGCUGAAGCAUCAGCGCCGCCGCUUCCUCCUUUCCUUUAUCAAAGCCGAAGUGGUGUCGUCGACGUCGUCGUUGAUGGUGGCGGUCAUGUUGCCUGGGACGCCGUCAACACGCCGGUGCUGCCGCUGCUGGUGGAACUAUGCAAGUCGCUGCUGGUGCAACACUGCUGCUCAUGGUGCCCAACGUCGUCGGCGCGUAACUCUCCUACCUUCUGCCCACCGGGUCACCCGGCAACGUCGAUGGUUCAACAACAUGGUGAUCACCCGAAUGCCCAUCAAAAUUGUUGGCAUGUGUUGCGGCUCUCAUGGUCCUACUGCCAACGGUGGGCGUCCAAGAGGCACUUGACCGCCGUGGCAUCCCUCGUCCUCAAACUGCGCCGGUUCGGCGGCCGCUCUGGCAUGCACGUCCCAGCGGUAGGUGGGCGAAUUCAGCUGAAGGAGCCGGAGUACAGAGGACCCCUCCAACGUGCCAAAGAUUAGCACAUGGAGCUACCGGAGCCGGACGGCCCAACCUCACCGCCAACAGAAAAGCGCACGAUGGUGCAUGGAGUCAUCAUCCAUGUUGGAUCGGUGGAGGAUCACAUCACCACACGUUGUCACAGCUUCACUUUCUGUGUUUUUGAUAUGGUUGAUGGCACCAGCCCUUCUCCUUUCGAAGAUGGAGGUCACGGGUUUGCAGGGGGCA
This 1317-nucleotide ribosomal RNA is filed under the name Triticum aestivum (bread wheat). RNAcentral's name for it is "partial small subunit ribosomal RNA". Lineage: Eukaryota; Viridiplantae; Streptophyta; Magnoliopsida; Poales; Poaceae. The record is from RNAcentral.